This 430-nucleotide ribosomal RNA is filed under the name Pseudomonadota bacterium. RNAcentral describes it as "Proteobacteria bacterium partial 16S ribosomal RNA". It matches the Rfam family "Bacterial small subunit ribosomal RNA", at positions 355 to 776 of the family's 1533-position model. Lineage: Bacteria; Pseudomonadati; Pseudomonadota. The record is from RNAcentral.
UGGGGAAUAUUGGACAAUGGGGGGAACCCUGAUCCAGCCAUGCCGCGUGUGUGAAGAAGGCCUGAUGGUUGUAAAGCACUUUAAGCGAGGAGGAGGGUACUGGUAUUAAUACUACCAGGUACUGGACGUUACUCGCAGAAUAAGCACCGGCUAACUCUGUGCCAGCAGCCGCGGUAAUACAGAGGGUGCGAGCGUUAAUCGGAUUUACUGGGCGUAAAGCGUGCGUAGGCGGCUAAUUGAGUCGGAUGUGAAAUCCCCGAGCUUAACUUGGGAAUUGCAUUCGAUACUUGUUAGCUAGAGUGUGGGAGAGGAUGGUAGAAUUCCAGGUGUAGCGGUGAAAUGCGUAGAGAUCUGGAGGAAUACCGAUGGCGAAGGCAGCCAUCUGGCCUAACACUGACGCUGAGGUACGAAAGCAUGGGGAGCAAACAGG